AUUUUCAUUGCAUAUUUCUUCAUCUGUUGGCCUUCUUUUGGUCAAAACCUCCAUCAACAUGAUGCCGUAACUAUAAACAUCACCACUAGUGCACACUAU
Solanum tuberosum (potato) is the source of this 99-nucleotide long non-coding RNA. RefSeq lists it as uncharacterized. The record is from RefSeq and is a predicted model, not a curated record. The transcript has 3 exons. NCBI's taxonomy places the organism in Eukaryota, Viridiplantae, Streptophyta, Magnoliopsida, Solanales, Solanaceae.